AUUGAACGCUGGCGGCAGGCCUAACACAUGCAAGUCGAGCGGAGCGGCGGACGGGUGAGUAAUUACUAGGUAUGUGACUGGCAGUAGGGCGUAACGUCAGGAUACGGGCGCUAAUAUCGCAUAAUAUCAGCUUCACCUUGGUCGGAUGAGCUAGUUGGUGGGGUAAAGGCCUACCAAGGCGACGAUCCGUAACUGGUCUGAGAGGCUGAUCAGUCACACUGGAACUGAGACACGGUCCAGACUCCUACGGGAGGCAGCAGUGGGGAAUAUUGGACAAUGGGCGAAAGCCUGAUCCAGCCAUGCCGCGUGUGUGAAGAAGGUCUUCGGAUUGUAAAGCACUUUAAGUUGGGAGGCGUUACCAACAGAAUAAGCACCGGCUAACUACGUGCCAGCAGCCGCGGUAAUUC
RNAcentral lists this ribosomal RNA (407 nucleotides) under uncultured bacterium. RNAcentral describes it as "partial 16S ribosomal RNA". It matches the Rfam family "Bacterial small subunit ribosomal RNA", at positions 30 to 526 of the family's 1533-position model. The record is from RNAcentral.